AUUGAACGCUGGCGGCAGGCCUAGCACAUGCAAGUCGAGCGGUUGAAGGUUGCUUGCUCCUGGCUUCAGCGGCGGACGGGUGGGUAAUGCCUAGGCAUCUGCCUGGUAGUGGGGGCUAACGUCCGGAAACGGGCGCUAAUACCGCUUACGUCCUGAGGGCGCAUGAGUGGGAUCUUCGGACCUCACGCUGUUAUAUGACCCUGGGUCGGAUUAGCUAGUUGGUGGGUUAAAGGCCUACCAAGGCGACGAUCCGUAACUGGUCGGAGAGGAUGAUCAGUCACACUGGAACUGAGACAGGGUCCAGACACAUACGGGAGGCAGCAAUGGGGAAGAUUGGACAAUGGGCGAAAGCCCGAUCCAGCCAUGCCGCGUGUGUGAAGAAGGUCUUCAGAUUGUAUAGCACUUUAAGUUGGGAGGAAGGGCAGUAAGUUAAUACCUUGCGGUUUUGAAGGUACCAACAGAAUAAGCACCGGCUAACUUCGUG
RNAcentral lists this ribosomal RNA (484 nucleotides) under uncultured bacterium. RNAcentral's name for it is "partial 16S ribosomal RNA". It matches the Rfam family "Bacterial small subunit ribosomal RNA", at positions 30 to 507 of the family's 1533-position model. The record is from RNAcentral.